This 28-nucleotide non-coding RNA is filed under the name Rattus norvegicus (Norway rat). The record is from RNAcentral. Lineage: Eukaryota; Metazoa; Chordata; Mammalia; Rodentia; Muridae.
UGUGCACAUUAGGGCCCAUCUGACCAUA